GGAAUUGUAGCUCAGUUGGUAGAGCGGAGGCAGCCAAAACCUCAGGCCAAAGGUUCAAGUCCUUUCAAUUCCC
This 73-nucleotide transfer RNA is filed under the name Tetrahymena thermophila SB210. RNAcentral's name for it is "Tetrahymena thermophila tRNA-Trp for anticodon CCA". It matches the Rfam family "tRNA". From Rfam's summary of the family: Transfer RNA (tRNA) molecules are approximately 80 nucleotides in length. Lineage: Eukaryota; Ciliophora; Oligohymenophorea; Hymenostomatida; Tetrahymenidae. The record is from Rfam by way of RNAcentral.